ACCGCGUAUGAAGUACGUUUUCACCUCGGGUGACAGGGAGACAGGUGGUGCAUGGUUGUCGUCAGCUCGUGUCGUGAGAUGUUGGGUUAAGUCCCGCAACGAGCGCAACCCCUACGUUUAGUUGCUAACAGGUGAAGCUGAGCACUCUAGACGAACUGCCGUUGACAAAACGGAGGAAGGUGGGAUGACGUCAAAUCAUCAUGCCCUUAUGUUCUGGGCUACACACGUGCUACAAUGGCCGGUACAGACGGAGGCGAAGCCGCGAGGCGGAGCAAAUCCGAAAAAGCCGGUCUCAGUUCGGAUUGCAGGCUGCAAUUCGCCUGCAUGAAGUCGGAAUCGCUAGUAAUCGCAGGUCAGCAUACUGCGGUGAAUACGUUCCCGGGCCUU
RNAcentral lists this ribosomal RNA (387 nucleotides) under uncultured Pelotomaculum sp. Its description in RNAcentral is "bacterial SSU rRNA". It matches the Rfam family "Bacterial small subunit ribosomal RNA", at positions 994 to 1382 of the family's 1533-position model. Lineage: Bacteria; Bacillati; Bacillota; Clostridia; Eubacteriales; Desulfotomaculaceae. The record is from RNAcentral.